UACGGAGGGGGCAAGCGUUAUUCGGAAUCAUUGGGCGUAAAGAGUUCGUAGGCGGGAGAUUAAGUCUGGCGUGAAAUUUUUCGGCUCAACCGGAAAAAGCCGCUGGAAACUGAUCUUCUCGAGUCGGGUAGAGGUUGGCGGAAUUCCAGGUGUAGCGGUGGAAUGCGUAGAUAUCUGGAAGAACACCAGUGGCGAAGGCG
RNAcentral lists this ribosomal RNA (200 nucleotides) under uncultured bacterium. Its description in RNAcentral is "partial 16S ribosomal RNA". It matches the Rfam family "Bacterial small subunit ribosomal RNA", at positions 524 to 723 of the family's 1533-position model. The record is from RNAcentral.